CAGUCCGAUCUCGCGAGAGAGGACGGAAGCCUGUGGGAGCCCGUGGCCUUUAAAGUACGGUUCAGCCCUUUCCUCCAGGGGUGGUUUGUAAACACGGGGCUCCGGGCAGCCGAAGGGCGCAUGCAUUAGUGACCUGGAAAGGAAUACUUAGAUGGAAGUGUAAGAAGCACUGCUUACUUGAUAAGAGCUGAGGGAUUCCUGGCAGCUGAGUGAAUAAAGCUCAUGGCCCACCAGCUAGAAAGUAUCCUUGCCAUGAUAAAGAGGAUGUGAUAAGUUGUUUAACUUAUGAAAUUCAAGUUACGUGUGAAUCCUGCCAGGCAAUACAAGGACCUGUGGAAUAUGAGUGAUGACAAACCCUUUCUAUGCACUGCCCCUGGAUGUGGCCAGCGUUUUACCAACGAGGAUCAUUUGGCUGUCCAUAAACAUAAACAUGAGAUGACACUGAAAUUUGGUCCAGCACGUAAUGACAGUGUCAUUGUGGCUGAUCAGACCCCAACACCAACAAGAUUCUUGAAAAACUGUGAAGAAGUGGGAUUGUUUAAUGAGUUGGCAAGUCCAUUUGAGAAUGAAUUCAAGAAAGCCUCAGAAGACGACAUUAAAAAAAUGCCUCUAGAUUUAUCCCCUCUUGCAACACCCAUCAUAAGAAGCAAAAUCGAGGAGCCCUCUGUUGUGGAAACAACUCACCAGGAUAGUCCUUUACCUCAUCCGGAGUCCACUACCAGUGAUGAAAAGGAAGUACCAUUGGCACAAACUGCACAGCCCACAUCAGCUAUUGUUCGUCCAGCAUCGUUACAGGUUCCCAAUGUGCUGCUUACAAGUUCUGACUCAAGUGUAAUUAUUCAGCAGGCGGUACCCUCACCAACCUCAAGUACUGUAAUCACCCAGGCACCAUCCUCCAACAGGCCAAUUGUCCCUGUACCAGGCCCAUUUCCUCUUCUGUUGCAUCUUCCUAAUGGACAAACCAUGCCUGUUGCUAUUCCUGCAUCAAUUACAAGUUCUAAUGUGCAUGUUCCUGCCACAGUUCCACUUGUUCGACCAGUCACCAUGGUGCCUAGUGUUCCAGGAAUCCCAGGUCCUUCUUCCCCACAACCAGUUCAGUCAGAAGCAAAAAUGAGAUUAAAAGCUGCUUUGACCCAGCAACAUCCUCCAGUUACCAAUGGAGACACUGUCAAAAGUCACAGUAGUGGAUUAGUUAGGACUCAAUCAGAGGAAUCUCGACCACAAUCAUUACAGCAGCCAGCCACGUCCACUACAGAAACUCCGGCUUCUCCAGCUCACACAACUCCACAGACCCAAAACACAAGUGGUCGUCGAAGAAGAGCAGCUAAUGAAGAUCCUGAUGAAAAAAGGAGGAAGUUUCUAGAGAGAAAUAGAGCAGCAGCUUCAAGAUGCCGACAAAAAAGAAAAGUCUGGGUUCAGUCUUUAGAGAAGAAAGCAGAAGACUUGAGUUCAUUAAAUGGUCAACUGCAGUGAAUAUAAUGUUCAUGAAAGGUGCCAGAUUGACAGCUUUGGAAACUGAAGGGCUCUGUUUAUCCACAGACCAGUUGUCAAAUAAAAUUAAAAGUUUUUAAGAAGUAAAUGACAUAUUGGAGUUUCCAGAGUGUGAAGAGUUAACAUUCUUAUAGUGGACUCAGACGGAAAAAAUUUCUGUCUGCCAAUAGCAAAACCGUUAACUGUGAAGAACAGAACGACUUGUAAAGAAAAUUGAAUGUCAGAGAAAUAAUUAAACUCUACUUUAUGUGAAAACAUUCAUCAAUCCUACAUUUCCUUAAUAACCCUUCACAUGACAUACGGGCUCAGCUAAUAGGUAUGGUGGGCAGUAAUAAUCCAUAGUAACUUAUGUAUUAUGAACAAUAAAAGAUACAACAAAUGUUGGGGUGUGACUGUUUGUAUUUUUACUGAAUACAUAUUAGGUUUUAGGGAAAAUAUUAAUUAUAAAGCCUUAUUGCUCCAUUCACUGAAUUUUCAUGUUUCAGCUUUCUAAAAUUAUUGCUAAGACAGGUUAUCUUUCCUCAAAUUGUAUUAGAGACAUGGUAACCUAGAUGAAGACUUGGAUGCCAUUAGUUAUAAAUUAUUAUAUUUUUAAGUUGGUAUCUGAUUUUGUUAUGUUUUACUUGAAACGGUUUUAACCUGUUUAUGGUUUUGUCUUUUUAUUUUGGGAAUGUUUUAGCAUGUUUCCUUUAUGAACAAAAGACAGACUCUUCUCUUUACUAACAGUAGCUCCUUAACAACUACUUUAUGGGUAAAACUAGGAAAUUUUAUUGUAGAUUUUGCUUUUAAAACUCAGGUAUUGCAAAGAUGAGUGUGGAAGGAGAAGCUCAAUAAAUUUAUAGAAGCUUGGUUUGAUAGCUGGGUACGUGAGGAUAUUUCACUCAUAAGUUAAUGAUGUAGAAAAGGCUUUGUUUAUUGGUCCAUCGACUUAUAGGGAAUGGAAUCAAAUCUUUUGUUCUUGGUACCUAAGCAAUAUUUUGUUUCAGUAUUUACCACUUGAAAUAGGAAGGAAUAGCAACAAUUGGAAGAUGCCUACAAUACUUAAUUCCUAAAAGGAUACUAUUCUGAUGUAACUGUCUUCUUUCCCCCCCCCCCCGAGUUUUAACUGUAUUCCAAAGGGAGAAAAGAGGUGGUAGUGAUAGCACCUCUAUUUCAUGUAUUUUAUUCUGGGUUUGGGAUCUAAGUCCUUUUUUUAUUUGUAUUUUUUAACUAGUGUUUACUAGAAAUCUUUCUGAGCCUCUACUUCCCCAUUGGUCAAGCUGAUAGAACAAGUACUAUUAUGAGGAUCAAAUGAGAGAGCAUAUAGAAAAGACACUAUGCAAAUACUAGCUAUUUGUUACUCUGUCAUCAUAUAUUUACUGUGUACAAGGCUUGCUAUUAGACACUGGGGAUGCAACAAUGAAAAAGACCUAGUCCUUGCACUCAUGUAAUAUGUGGCCUAGCAGAGGAGACAGACAUGAAACAAGUCGUUAAUGUAUGAGAGAGAGUAGGACCCAUGUCAUUCCCAUUCAUUUUGCAUAGUAUUUUUAAAAUAUUGCCUACCUCUGUUAAGAACCUUGUCAUCAUUUUUUUUUUUUUUUAACCUACCGUUGUAGAUACAAAUUAAAAAAUUAUUUGGUUCUCAAGUAUAAGAUUUUGCUUCCAUGAUAACCCAUGGAACUGUGUGGUGGGAGUCUUAAUACUCAAUCAUUGAUUUUUAUGAAGAUUAUGAAAAGUUCGUAUCUAUAGCAAUGAGAAAAAUCCCCAAAGGAAGAAACUAUCCGAUAUUAUUUCUUUAGAUUUGCCGGUAGUGGCUGAAUUAGAAAGUCAGAGAUUAUAAAUUUAUAAAAUACCUGGUCAUCAGUCCAUGGCCAAAUAACAUUAAUCAAUUGAUUGUCCUGGCACAAUUUCUUCAGGCUGAUCUGCUUCAGAUAAACAGUGUAAAAAAAUAUUACGUGGUCUACUAGUAUGUAGUUAGAGGGCAGUGGUGGUUGAGUGGUAGAAUUCUCACCUUCCAUAUGGGCAGCCUGUGUUCCAUUGCCAGGCAUCGCAUCUCAAGCCCAGCCAUCACUCAUCUGUCAGUGGAGACUGUGUGUUGUUGUGAUGCUGACCAGGUUUCAGUGGAGUUUUCAGAUCAAGACACUAGAAGAAAGACCUGGCAAUCUACUUCCAAAAAUCAACCAGUGAAAACCCUGUGGAUCCCAGCAGUUUGAUCCUGUAGUGCAUGGGUCACAAUGAGCUGGAGACCAACUGGACAACAUCUAGCAACAACAAUAUGUAGUUAACCUUUGAGUAGCCGUCUUAAUAGAAUGGAGCAACGGUACUGCCCUACUUUUGUCGUCUUCUGCCUAAAUUGGUUAUAUAACCUUUAGUAGCAUACCCCUCCCAUUUUCAGCCUCUGUUUAAUCUGAUCUUGACCACUUGCAUAUGCUUACACUUCAGGCUAUGUAGCAAAACUAAAUCUGCUCGCUUUAAGUCUUGGUCCACUCUCAUUUCUGUUCUGCACCCCAACUCUGCUUGCUCUGAAAUAUUUCUCUCAGUCCCAACUCCUUCCACAUUUGCUGCUUUCAGUCUAUACCAGUUUUUAAAGAAGUCAAAUAUUAAGAUAUUUGUGUGACUUCUGGCCAACAUGGCACCAUAGACAGAAGCACCACUCUGCCCCUCCACAGUAAAGACCCAAAAAACUUAAGUAAAACAGAGACAUAUAUCAUUCCUGGAACCUGAAGUGUCAAAUGAAGAGAUAAAGAACUCAGCCAAACACUGAAUAGAAUAAGAAGCUGGCAGAGGACAGAAAACAAGGAGAGAAACCUGUGGAGGGCCCCUAUCAGCUAAUACAGCACGGAUCCACCAUCUUGGACUCUUUUCGGGGAUUGGCAGACAGGAGCACGGGAAAGCAGCUUCACAGAGCUCCCAGCAGGAGACGGAGCACCUGGUACUCUCCAAUACACGCUUUCCCACCCCUCAUCCUCUCUGCGCUGCUCUUACCUCCAAGCUUCCUGGCUGGCUGCGAUGGCCUAGCUGGCCAGGAGGUACAGUGUCCGUGCCACUUGGAUUUGCCCCACCCACAUUGGAGAGCAGCAGACAGAGUACGGGAAAGCAGCUUCACAAAGUUCUCAGCAGGAGACAGCACCUGGUAACAAGCAAUAUAUGCUUUCCUAACUACCACCGUUUUUCCCCUGCCCCCUUUGGCCUCAAGCUGCUUGGAUUUGCCCCGCCCACCGUGGCUGGCCCCCUGAGCUGGUGUUGCUUCUUUCUGUUUCUUUUGGUUUCUUCCGUGCCUCCCACCACUUCCCCCUCCCUUCUCUAGAAUACCUGGCUCUGUGUGUCAUCUUUGCUUCUUCUUGAAAGGCUGUGAAGCCCCGCUCUACUGGGGAGCUACUCCCCCAGCCCAUGGCGCCACACUGGUGGGAUCCCUGGGGCUUGCCUUUUUUGCUUGUUUUGUUUGUUUUCUAUUUCUUUUCACAGCUUGGGAGCCCCUUCUAGCCGGGCUGCGCUGUAUAGCUUAGGAAGCACUCCCCCAAUCUGCACAGCCACAUAGAUGGGAUUCUUGGGGGCAUUUCUUUUUUUCUGCCUUUCUUCAUUUCUCACUUCUCAGUUCUCAUCUCUCUAUACUUACGUUCAUUUCCUGUCUCCUGAAUACCUGGUGCUGUGUGACAUCAGUACCCCCUCUAGCCAGGCUAUACUGCACAGCCUGGGAGCCACUUCCCUGGUCUUCACAGCCCCACUAGUGGGACUCCUGGGGGCUUUUCCUUUUCCAAAUUUUUAUCUAGUUAUUAUUUUUUUCUUUUUUCCCCCCAUUUGGUUUUCUCCAUUUCACGGUUUCUCAUGUCUCCACUCCAACAGCAAGCUCCUUUAGCACUCUUUUUUUUUUUUAACCUUUUUUUGUUUUUGACUCGUGUUUCUCUUUCCUCUCUCUCCUCUUUCCCAUACCCCUAUUACCUCCACACAUCACAACCCACCCCCCACUUUCCUGCCUAUCUGCACUGUGCACUGAACUUCACACCCCAAGCAGCACAGGCAUGGCCUACCGGAACCUGCCUAGCACUGAUUCCUGGCUCACCCUGUCAGCCCUAGUAUGUGCCACAAACAAUCCAUCCCACCCUCUCCCCUUCCGUUGGACCUGGCAGACUGCACCGUAGCUGAGUGACUGGCCCUGCCCAUUGGACAAGGAGGUGAAAAGUAUCGCAACUACAGACGAACAAACAAUAAAGAACACACAGCCCACCUGCUCAGACAUAACCAAAUUAAACAAAAAAGCAGGAUGAAACAAAUCUACAAUCAAGAAAUGAAAAAAAUAACUACUGAAUGUCUUGAAGACAGCAGACAAUAUCAAAACAUAUUAAAAAAAAAAAAAAAAAAAGGAUGGUUCCAGUAGGCAUCCAAAAUAAAACACCAGAUGACUUUCCAGUAGAAGAAAAGGCACUAGAACUACCUGACAGGGAAUUCAACUCUCUUAAUAUUCAGAGCAAUCCAAGAGUUGAAGCAAAAAGCAGACAAAAAUGAGGAAAAAUAGACAAAUUUAUGGAAAAGGCAGACAAAUUCUUGGAAUAUACAGGCAAAUGGAAGAAUUCAGGGAAAUAAUAAGGAACAAAAUGCCAAAAUAAAUUCACAACUAGAAUCAUACAAAAACAAUUAGAAACCCAAAAGAUAUACAAGAUUUCAGAAAUGGGCGGUGUCAUAAAAGGGCUGAGGAGCAGGUUUGAAAUGAUGGAAGACGGGAUCAGUGAAAUUGAAGACAAAUACUCAGAUACAACUCUGAGGAAAGAUCAGAAGAACUAAGAAAAAUGAAGAAACCCUGAAAAUUAUGUGGGAUACAAUCAAAAGCAAAAAUUCGCAAGUGAUUGGGGUUCCAGAACAGGGAGAGAAAACACAGAGAAACAUUAAAGAAUUGCUGACAGAAAACUUCCCUAAUAUCAUGAAUGUUGAAAAGCUGACCAUCAAAGAAGCUUAAUGAACCCCGUAUAGGAUAGACCCCAAAACAAAAACACCAAGGCAUAUCAUAGUCACACUCGCUAAAACCAAGACAGAAAGUCCUGUGAGCAGCUUGGAAAAAAUCACAUACAGAGGAGAAAUAACAAGACUAAGCUCUGAUUAUUCGGCAGAAACCAUGCAGGCAAGAGGGCAAUGGGAUGACAUAAAACCUCAGAAGAAAAAAAUUGCUAACUGCAAAUAAUAUAUCCUCCAAAACUUUCAUUCAGAUGUGAUGGUGAAAUUAGGACAUUUCCAGAUACACAGAAAUUAAAAGAAUAGGUAAAAACCAAACCAAACUUGCAAAAAUUAUUAAACGGAGUCCUUCGGUCUGAGAACAGACAACAUCAGACCACAGCCUGAAUCUAGGAUGCAAAAUUGUACUAGUCAGGUACCAACCUAGGAAAUGAACUCUCAAAGACUAUCCAAAACCAAAAGAAUUGCAACAGAGAACCAGAGAGGUUAAUCUGUAAAUGACAACAAUGUCAGAACAAUAAAAGAAGGAAUAAACUGUAUAGAUAUAGAGCUUUCUAAAGGAGAAGAAAGCAAGGUGAUACCAAAUAAUAAUAGACUGGUUCAAAGCUAGGAAGAUAAGGGUAAAUUUCAAGGUAACCACAAGGAAAGUUAACAAACCCACUCAUCAAAAUAAAGAAGAAAAAUAUGCAUAAAGCCUCAAUAAAAACAAAACCUACAAAAACAAAUGAAAAAGAAAUCCAAGAUAUUUGUGAUAAUACAGACUAUAUAUAAUUUUAAUUUUAACCUUUCAUCCGAAAGUAGCUUCAGGAUCGUCAUUAGGAAAAUCCAUUACCAUUGUAAAACAUUUUAAAUCAGGAUGGUAUAAAAGGCUGGACUGAAUUUGUAUUAAGUGUACCUCGAAUUUGGUUUUUUGUUUGUUUUCUUUACUUAUCUCUGUAAUUUAAAAGUUAUGGGGGAAAACUGGUUAUAUGAAUUUUGGAUCAGUAUAAUUUUAUAGCAUAGAUGAGUAUUGUAUCUUAUUGAUAUAUAUGAGUCAUACUUACCUGAAAAUAUGUGAAGUUUUCAUUUUCAAUUUCCUUCUCUCUGGCCUUUUCAGUUGUUUGCCCUGGUAAGUGUGACUCCAAUUAAAAUUCAGUUACACAAAUUUAAGAUAAGUUGUAUCAAGAAUCAAAUGGCUUCCACAAUAGAUGGUUCCUGGUAGAACAGGAGAAAAAUGUGGAAAGGAACUCAAAUUCUUAAAAAGGCCAGACUUCACUGGACCAGUUGAGACUAGAGGACUCCCUGACACUGUCGCUCUGAGAUACUCUUUAAACCUUAAACCAAAAUUAUCUCUUGAGAUCUCCGAUUAGCUAAAUAACAGAUUGGCUCAUAACAUAAAGAAUAUCACACGUGAGUAAUGAGCUCCUGUAAAAAACCAUCUAUAUGAGACUAAAUGGUUAAAAAUUACUCUAAAACAAAGAAGAGAAGGUAAAGGGGCAGGAAAACUAGAGUACUGGAAAUGAUACAACCACAAUGGAAUGAAUGAGAAUGAUGAUACAUUGUCAAAAAUGUAACCAAUAUCACUGAAUAAUUUGUGUAGAAAUUGUUAAAUGGGAACCUAAUUUGCAGUGUCAACUUCUACCUUAAACACAAUAAAAUAAUAUUUUUAAAAAGGAAGAAUCAAGUGCCUUACCCGUAAGUCCUUAAUGUUCAUUAAACCCCCACUGUUAACUAGUGGCAUCUUCAGAUUUAUUUGUUAAUGAGCCAGGUAGUCUAAUUAGGUAGCAGUCAUAAUACCACCUACUGUUAAAUUAGAGGUAUAGAAACUGAUGUUCCAUUUAUCAGUUUUAAAAUCUGCUUAAAGAGAGGAUUUCAAUGUAUGUAUUUACUUUUAUUUGCAUGUAUGAGAAUAAUAUCAUAUUUUAAUACUUAUAAAAACCCAAAACCAAACCCAGUGCCGUCGAGUCGGUUCCGACUCAUAGCGACCCUAUAGGACAGAGUAGAAUUGCUCCAUAGAGUUUCCAGGGAACGCCUGGCAGAUUCGAACUGCCAACCCUUUGGUUAGCAGCUAUAGCACUUUAGCCACUACACCACCAGGGUUUCCCUUAAUACUUAUUAAAAAAAAAAAAUUUUUUUUUUUUAUAGAACUAUUUAAAUCAACAGUUUAAUAUCAGUUAGAUAAUCAGCUUAUAACUGCUUUCAGAAAUUUAUCUAAUAGCAUUUUGUUUCAUAAUAUGGUUUAUGGUGAGUGUAUAGAGUGUUUAGGACAGAAGGCAAUUAUGACUUAAAAUUGUGUCAUUGAAGAUGAUGCUGUAAAAUAUAGUAAUUUUCAUUUCAUAAUUGAGGAAAUUAGCAGUGUAGCUUUGUUAAUGAAGUUGUUGGUAUAAAUGAUGAAAUUAGGACCUCUGACCUAUUUUAUAUUGUUUAAGCUAUUUCAUUCACCUUCUUUGGUAUUUUUCAUCCCCUGGACACAGAAUUACCAUUGUUGUUGUUGUGUGCCGUCGGGUUGAUUUCAACUCAUAAUGACUCUAUAGGACAGAGUAGAACUGCCCCAUAGGGAUUCCAAGGGUGUAAUCUUUACUGAAGCAGAUUGCCACAUCUUUCUCCUGAGGAGUGGCUGGUGGGUUUGAACCGCCAACUUUUCAGUUAGCAGCUGAGCACUUAACCACUGCAGCACCAGGACUCCUUAGAAUUACCGUAAACCAAAGUGUUGCCAUCACAAUUCCAACUCAUAGUGACCAUAUAGAAUUACCAUAAUCCUCUCUAAAAUUAAAAAAAAAAAAAGGGAAACCCUGGUGGCAUAGGGGUUAAGUGCUACGGCUGCUAACCAAGAGGUCAGCAGUUCAAAUCCGCCAGGCGCUCCUUGGAAAUUCUAUCGGGCAGUUCUACUCUGUCCUGUAGGGUUGCUAUGAGUCGGAAUCGACUCGACGGCACUGGGGUUGGGGCUCUAAAAUUAAUGGUCCACUUAAUGCAUGUCAGGCAAUGUGUUUCAUUCUGGGAAUAGGGAGAUAAAAGAUCAUCCCUGCUUCUAAGAAAUUCCCAGUCAGGCAGAGGAGUCAAAUAAGUAUACCAAAAGUUACAAUCCAGUGUAUAUUUAUAUAUAACUGUGUAAGUUAUGAGUGGGAAUACAGAAAUGGUUACCUAACCUCUUUUUUCAACACAAGUGUAUAUAUAGUGCUGAGUUGGCUCUUGAAGAUGAAUGGAAUAGUUAGCAAGGCAAGGAAGGGAGGGAAAGGAUUUUCCAGAUAGAGAAGACAUUACUGUGUAGUUUUCAAGAUAAAAUUGCUGUUUUUAUAGGUAAAAAAAGAUGAUUAUUAGGUAUUUUAUAUGGCUCAAACUAAUAUGAAGGCAGCAAGGGUAUGACAUGCAUGAGACAUUACUAGCGUUUUGGUAUGACUAAAGGUUAGAGUAUGUUGGGAGAGCAGAAAAAGUUGAAAAUCAAGAUGGUUACAGUUGCCAGAUUAUGAAAGACAUUUUAUUCUUGACUAAAAAUACAUAUCCAGUCCUGUCUCAUGUUACAGAAAUUAAUGAGAGAAGUUGGAGAAGUAAGUCUCAAAAUCAAGCUAAUGUGGAAUCAGGCAGAGAGAGAGAAGAAAACUUUUACGAUAAUAUAUAUUGGAUUAUUUAUAACAUGGUUUCUCACCAAUAGUGUUGUUAAUAAAGGGCUAUAAUUAACCAUAUUAACAGUGGCAAUUGUAGUAUCCAUAGACAUGAGUUUUCUACAUAACAUCCUUUAAAGCAAAACUGUUGUACAUUUUAGCCUUCUGUACUUCAGUCAGUGUACACCCAUUCUUUUAUUUUUAUCAUGGUAACAUACAUAACAAAAUCCACCGUUUUAGCCACUUUUAAGUGUACAAUUCAUUGGCAUUAAGAACAUUCACAGUGUUGUAACCAUCACCACUAUCUACUUCCAGAGCGUUAUCACCCCAGACAGAAAUUCUGUGCCCAUCCUUCAUCAGUCACUCCCCACUCACCCCCUGCUUCUACACAUACUCAUUCUUGUCUCAAGUACAGUAUUCUAAAUGUAAUUAACUAUUUGAUUAAUGGUUCAGAGUUAUUAUGAGCAUCAGUUUUGUUCCGUGGCUUAAUACAAUGUUGUACUUCGUUGUUAUUGGAAUGUGAGGAACCAUUUGAUCCAUAUGCUUGCUUCCUACAUUUUCUAAUUUACUUUUGGGUUCAUGGAUGAAGUCUGAAUGGUUAAGCUUAGUGCAAGUCCAAAUAAGUAGAGGUGUUUGUAAAUUAAUAGUAUUUUUAUGUUAUCAAUUUCUUAAAUGUAUAUUGUUUCUAAUGCUUGAGUACUGGGAAUAGUCAUUAAUUUAUUGUGUCUUUUAUAUUUGGGAGUGACCCAAAGGAAUUAAUUGGACUCAGUCAAUUUGGAACUUUUUAUAGAAUUUAUCAGGUUAAUGCAUCCCAGACAAAAGCUGAAGUACUCAUUCUGUCAUAAGGAGUACGACAAAUCACUCUGGUCUUAUCAGAUUUAGAUUUAGAUGUGUACAAAUUGCCUGGAUCAAAGGCAUCUAAGCCAUGUAGACAGCCCAUCCAGUGCCUUGGAAUGACUUUUAAGUUGCGAUGAUUCUUUGGUUGUUGUGGUUCCGCUUAUGGAACUUUUCCUAGUUUCUAGAAAACUAGAAACUUGCUUAAUUGAGUUUUCAUGAUGAAUUUUUUAUUUCCAAGUGAAUGGAAUCAAUGAAAAUUCAUCUUGACUCACUUGGUGUUUUCUGAUUUUUCAAAUAAUCAGAAGAGCAUGUGACAUAUAUAAAAUAAAAACACCUUGGACCAGUAAUCUGUAAUAUAUAAGAAAUCCUAAGGCAAAUGGUAAAGUAAAAAUCAGUUAUGGUAUUAUUUAAGUUUUUAUAUAAAGUUGCAAAUUUUGGGAUAAAUGCUUAAACCAUAAAGACUGAAUUAUACUGAUUAAACAUAUUUAAGCAGCAUAUUUUCUUUAUUCCUUGAUGUUGUUAAAGAUGUCUAAUUUUCAUGAUCAUUGCUUGUUUUAAACAGUAAAAAAUAUGUCUAGUCUGAUGCUGGUGUAAGGUGCAUAGUU
Loxodonta africana (African savanna elephant) is the source of this 11434-nucleotide RNA transcript. It is a transcript of the gene named activating transcription factor 2, with no coding region annotated. The record is from RefSeq and is a predicted model, not a curated record. NCBI's taxonomy places the organism in Eukaryota, Metazoa, Chordata, Mammalia, Proboscidea, Elephantidae. The transcript has 14 exons.